Non-coding RNA from Crotalus tigris (Tiger rattlesnake), 1937 nucleotides. The record is from the annotation of a RefSeq genome assembly. NCBI's taxonomy places the organism in Eukaryota, Metazoa, Chordata, Lepidosauria, Squamata, Viperidae.
UUGUAUGAUUACCUCAUGACUAUUGUUCAGUGUGACAACUGGUUUGACUAUUGGGGAAAAGGCACCUCGGUCACCGUCUCCACAGAAUCCCCAAGGGCCCCUUCUCUUUUUCCACUCAUCCCAUCUGGGGACAGCACAGGGGAUACAGAGAUCGCCGUUGGAUGCCUCGCCAAGAAUUUUCUGCCAGAUGCAGUUACUUUCUCCUGGGAUAAUCCAGACAACAGCAGUAUCAGCGACCAGAAGUUUAUGAAAUUUCCUUCUAUCAUGUCCGGUGGGACAUACACAGCAGCUUCCCAGGCUAAAGUCUCCCGGAGCACCUGGGAGGCUCUAGAACCGUUCUACUGCAAAGCCAAGCACGCCCAAGGAGACAAAGUGGUUUCAGUGGCUAAACCAUAUGUUCCAGUGCAAUUAGUCCCUGAGGUGCUCAUUCGGGCACCAGUGCUGAGUGCAUUUUCAAGUAGCUACCUAAAUUCCACUGUCACCUGUGAAGUUAGUAACCUCUGCUCUGGAAACGUUGUCAUCAGUUGGCUUAAGGAGCAAAAAGAAAUCACCAGUGGCAUCACUACCAGCAAACCUGUCCCAAAUGGUCGUGGUGGAUACACCAUUUGGAGCAAACUUGUUGUCACCAAGGAAGACUGGAUUUCUGAAAAGAAGUUUGCUUGUGCAGUAAAAAGCAAGGAAUUCACUCAUUCAGAGACGUUCAGCUUGCCAUCUUUCUGCAAAAAACCCAUAGAUGGAGGGUGUUCAUCUGUUAGCGUGGAAACCAUCCCCCCAACUUUCGCCGAUAUGUUCCUGACCAACUCAGCCAACCUGACUUGCAAAAUCUCCAACAUACCUACUGAAGCAGACUAUUCAAAGCUGAAUGUCACCUGGACACGAGAAUCUGACCACAAGCAACUCCACACUGUGAUGACCAACUUCCUAGAACAGGAAAAUGAUUUUUACUACGUCAAUGCUGUGGCCACAGUGUGUGCAACAGAAUGGAAGGAGGAUGAAACCUUUCACUGCAAAGUGACAUUUGAAGAUGUCCUUGUCAAGCCAAUAGAAAAACCCCUGAGGAAGGAGAAUGAUGGCAAACUGAAAGCUCCCUCUGUCUACAUCCUUUCACCUUCAGUAGAACAGGUGAAUUUGCGGGAGAAAGCUACCCUCUCAUGCCUCAUUCAAGGUUUCAAUCCCAACAGCAUCUUUGUGCGAUGGCUCCAUAAUGAGGAGCCAAUCAGUGAAUCAGAAUACUUCACCAGCCAACCCAUAGUAGAGUCCAAUGUACUGUCCAAACAGUAUUUUGCCUAUAGCAUAUUGACCGUCAGCGAACAGGAAUGGAGUGCAGGAGAUUCUUAUACUUGCAUGGUGGGACAUGAAGCCUUGGCCUACAACACAGUUCAGAAGACUGUAAACAAGAACACGGGUUACAUAGAGGGAAUUGUGGACACGGAGGAUGAAGAAGAAUUCCAAAACCUCUCAUCAAUCCUUUCCACCUUCAUCAUUCUUUUCCUAGUGAGCCUCUUCUACAGUGCCACUGUGACAGUCAUCAAGGUGAAAUAAAAACAGAGGCUGAUCUUCUACAUCUGCUUUUGUGAAAGGAGAAAGAUUUGAGUAGAUUGGAGGGGGCUGGCAUUUUUAUCUUGCUUUGUAUCAUAGUAUGAGCUGAAGCAGCCCAGUUGUUUACAGUUCAGUUCCAUGGUGAAAUUUUGCUUUACUUUGUUGUGUCAUUUUCUGUGUGACGCAUAUCUUUGUGGAUACUUCUCUGUGUCUCAAUUGUAGUCAUUGUUUAAUCAUUGUUAUGAUUUUUUUUUUGUCAGAAUGAUCUGCCUGAUCUGAUAUCCUAAAGGGGAUUUAUAGCACUUUCAUACAAAACAGACAGGAGAUCACUGCACAAUCUGUAUUUUUAUAUUGAGAUUGUCAUACAAUGCUGUAAUAAAUAUCUAUUUUUGAUGAAU